GGGCCCUUAGUGUAACCUGGCAGCACCCGAGCCUUGGAAGCUCGACAUGGCCGUUCAAAUCGGCCGCGGCCCA
RNAcentral lists this transfer RNA (73 nucleotides) under Methanobacteriota archaeon. Its description in RNAcentral is "Euryarchaeota archaeon tRNA-Pro". It matches the Rfam family "tRNA". Rfam says of the family: Transfer RNA (tRNA) molecules are approximately 80 nucleotides in length. Their secondary structure includes four short double-helical elements and three loops (D, anti-codon, and T loops). Further hydrogen bonds mediate the characteristic L-shaped molecular structure. tRNAs have two regions of fundamental functional importance: the anti-codon, which is responsible for specific mRNA codon recognition, and the 3' end, to which the tRNAs corresponding amino acid is attached (by aminoacyl-tRNA synthetases). tRNAs cope with the degeneracy of the genetic code in two manners: having more than one tRNA (with a specific anti-codon) for a particular amino acid; and 'wobble' base-pairing, i.e. permitting non-standard base-pairing at the 3rd anti-codon position. RNAcentral also lists the same sequence under 1 other name. The record is from RNAcentral. Lineage: Archaea; Methanobacteriati; Methanobacteriota.